CCUACGGGAGGCAGCAGUGGGGAAUAUUGCACAAUGGGGGAAACCCUGAUGCAGCGACGCCGCGUGAGUGAAGAAGUAAUUCGUUAUGUAAAGCUCUAUCAGCAGGGAAGAAAAUGACGGUACCUGAGUCAGAAGCUCCGGCUAACUACGUGCCAGCAGCCGCGGUAAUACGUAGGGGGCAAGCGUUAUCCGGAUUUACUGGGUGUAAAGGGAGCGUAGACGGCAGUGCAAGUCUGGAGUGAAAGGCGGGGGCUCAACCCUCGGACUGCUCUGGAAACUGUACGGCUGGAGUGCAGGAGAGGUAAGUGGAAUUCGUAGUGUAGCGGUGAAAUGCGUAGAUAUUAGGAGGAACACCAGUGGCGAAGGCGGCUUACUGGACUGUAACUGACGUUGAGGCUCGAAAGCGUGGGGAGCAAACAGGAUUAGAUACCCCUGUAGUC
RNAcentral lists this ribosomal RNA (440 nucleotides) under uncultured bacterium. RNAcentral's name for it is "partial 16S ribosomal RNA". It matches the Rfam family "Bacterial small subunit ribosomal RNA", at positions 338 to 795 of the family's 1533-position model. The record is from RNAcentral.